This 253-nucleotide ribosomal RNA is filed under the name uncultured bacterium. RNAcentral describes it as "partial 16S ribosomal RNA". It matches the Rfam family "Bacterial small subunit ribosomal RNA", at positions 524 to 776 of the family's 1533-position model. The record is from RNAcentral.
UACAGAGGUCCCGAGCGUUGUUCGGAUUCAUUGGGCGUAAAGGGUGCGUAGGUGGCGCUGUAAGUGGGGUGUGAAAUCCCGGGGCUUAACCCCGGGACUGCAUUCCAUACUGCGGUGCUUGAGGACUGGAGAGGAGACUGGAAUUUACGGUGUAGCAGUGAAAUGCGUAGAGAUCGUAAGGAAGACCAGUGGCGAAGGCGGGUCUCUGGACAGUUCCUGACGCUGAGGCACGAAGGUCAGGGGAGCAAACGGG